RNAcentral lists this long non-coding RNA (236 nucleotides) under Hordeum vulgare. Its description in RNAcentral is "long non-coding RNA (HVUL_LNC000912)". The record is from RNAcentral. Lineage: Eukaryota; Viridiplantae; Streptophyta; Magnoliopsida; Poales; Poaceae.
UUGAUGUGACAGAGUUCUGACUUGGUGCCUCCUGCUGUGUUGAUUUUAUUCCGGGGAGUUGAGCUCUAGGCGAUUCUUGAGCACAUCGUUAUCAUUCAGUUUUUUUAGUAUCUCAGGACGAAGGAUGUUCGAAAUUGCUUCAAUACUAGUAGUGGCGAGAUAAGCCCGGCAUCCCCAGUAUUGGUGCAGAGAGUUCACGGGUACGGCCAUACUUAGUAUCAUAGUGAUUACGAGGG